This is a non-coding RNA of Camellia sinensis, 2143 nucleotides long. The record is from RefSeq and is a predicted model, not a curated record. NCBI's taxonomy places the organism in Eukaryota, Viridiplantae, Streptophyta, Magnoliopsida, Ericales, Theaceae.
AGUAUUUUGCCUUCCUCUAAUCAAAAUAGAACAUCACAAGGGUUUCAAUCUCUCUCCCUCUCUAAUGAUGAUGAAGGCCGAAUCAAUUGAUAGGUUACCAGAUCAUCUCAUCUCUUCUCUUCGGUUGUAUAUUUGAAAUCAAAGGUAUCUAUCGUCGUCUCAUGCUUCUAUUCUCUUCUUGGUUGUGUAUCUAAAAUCCCUAAUUCAUUCUCACUCCCAGCCCAGUCCUGCCCUAGUCUGUUUUGCUUCUCUCUCUCUUUCAACGGCCGUAACACCGUGUGCAGUACCCCCAUAUUCGAAGCAAAAAAAAAAAAAAAAAAAAUCAAAAUACACAACUACUUGGGUUCUAAUGACUUCUAAUCAUAAAGGAACAUAGAAAUGGUGAAGAGAGACAGUUCGAAAAGAGAUGGUUCGAAGUCAAGAAGAGAGAACUGUUUGGGUUCUAAUGACUUCUAAUCAUAAAGGAACAUAGAAAUGGCGAAGAAAAGAGGCGGUUCAAAGUCAACAAGAGAGGGAGAAGAGAGAGAGGGUUCGAAGACGAAUUUUGGGCAUUUUGAUCUGGAAGGGCUUCAAUCUCUUUUUGGAGACUUCAACCUGGUUCGGCGUCGACAACAAUCAAUACAAUCUCUUCUUUUCUUUUCUUUUCUUUUCUCUUCUCUUCUCUUUGCGUUUCGUUGCUUUUGGUUCAAUUUUGGUUGGUUGUCUUCGACCUGAUUCUACAAUCCUCCAGUCUUCGACCCCUUUUCCAUAACCAAAAAACAAAAACCCACUUCAUCUCCGUCGAUUUCAAGCAUACCCAUUUCAAAAAAAUGUUUUCAAAAUCGUCAAAUCAGAUAUCCAUCUCUUGUCUUCCUCUGUUCUGCUUUUGGACAUUGAAAAGAUCAAUCUUUUCUUCAUUUUGUUUUCAAAAUUAUUGAAUCAGCUAUAAAUCUCUGGUUCUGGACAUUAAAAAGGAUCAAUGUUUUGAUUUCGUUUUAUGUGAUUUUGAACUCAAAUUUGUGUAAAUUGAGUUAAAUUUUUGUUGAUUGAACACAGAACAACUUGCUCUCUGGAGUUUCGAGAAGUUUAUCUCAUUACCUGGAGUUCCUAAACUUCUAACAAGCCCGAGUUAGAGAAUUGAAGAAGACUGAUCAUGUUAAUCAUACCGUAACAGUGCUGCUAGUUGGGAUUCCCAAAGUUGGCAAGUCAGCCCUGGCUAACUCCUUGCAUUAUAUUGGGCAGAUUAGUGCUACAGAGAAAGGAAAGUUGAAACAUGCAACAGUGAGUCCACUGCCAGGGGAGACAAAAGAUAUCAGCAGCUUGAAGCUUCCUUUAUCUGUAUGUGUUUAUCAUGUAAUAGUUGAGGUUUUGCCUCCAGAGAUUCCUGAUGCUGAGGUGCGUUCGAAACUUGCUUUAACAGGAGCUGUUAAUGACUAUUUAAUUGGGGAAGCAGAACUAGCUCAAUAUUUUUUGGCUAUCCUCAACUUGAGUGAUGAAUACAACCAAUGGUCAAAAUUGUCUACCACUGCGAGUGAAAAAUUAUCAGAUGACAAAGUUGAAACUUCAGUUAACUCGAAGUUGGACAAAAGAUGAAAGCAGUAUGCCACAGAUCACACACAGUUGAGAUUGGAUUUGUACACAGCUGAGAAUCGAAACUAAACUUUGUUUGUUUAUUUCAUACUAUGGUUUGCGAAAUUGAGAGCAAAAAGAUAGGGUUUCUAGUCAUGUAUUACUUAAGGUAAUUGCAAAUGCUUGCAAAGUUCUAACAACAUUUGUUUCAGAAUUGACUGAAUUUGAAGAUACUGACGAAUGUGUAAAGCACUUUGAUGAAGAUCAAGAAUUAGAGCAGCUUAUAAGUGGGGAAAUAUGUUUUAUGGUUUAUCCCUUUUCAAGUGGUAUGGUUUAACCCUUGGGUUGGAUUUACCUUCAAGUGACUCUUCAUCUUUUGUUUAUUCUUCUUUAUGAAGAAUAUGUUUUGCAGAGACAUAUACUUCUGAUACAGAAAGGAAUAUAAUUUUAUCUGGUUCAUUUAAUCCUUUAGAUGAAGGUCACCUAAAGCUUCUUGAAGUUGCUACUAGGUGCAUCAAUCUCUUUGUUGACACAUGAUUUUGAAAUACUUGGCUUACUUUUAUACAUUUUUGGUGAAUCACAUAUUUAUUCUUGA